This 437-nucleotide ribosomal RNA is filed under the name uncultured bacterium. RNAcentral's name for it is "partial 16S ribosomal RNA". It matches the Rfam family "Bacterial small subunit ribosomal RNA", at positions 28 to 507 of the family's 1533-position model. The record is from RNAcentral.
GAUGGACGCUGGCGGCAUACUUAACACAUGCAAGUCGGACGGAAAGUUGUGUUUCCAGUGCCGGACGGGUGAGUAACGCGUAAGAACCUGCCCUUGGGAUGGGAACAACAACUGGAAACGGUUACUAAUACCCCGUAGACUUAAGAGCAAAAGGAGUAAUCCGCCCGAGGAGUGGCUAGCGUCUGAUUAGCUAGUUGGUGAGUUAAUAGCUUACCAAGGCGAUGAUCAGUAGCUGUUCCGAGAGGGUGAUCGGCCACACUGGUACUGAGACACGGAGUAGACUCCUACGGGAGGCAGCAGUGGGGAAUUUUCCGCAAUGCGCGAAAGCCUGACGGAGCAAUGCCGCGUGGAGGUAGAAGGACCACGGGUCGUGAACUUCUUUUCUAGGAGAAGAAACAAUGACGGUAUCUGAGGAAUAAGCCUCGGCUAACUCUGUG